RNAcentral lists this long non-coding RNA (1005 nucleotides) under Anas platyrhynchos platyrhynchos (common mallard). RNAcentral's name for it is "lncRNA (ENSAPLG00000023016.1)". Lineage: Eukaryota; Metazoa; Chordata; Aves; Anseriformes; Anatidae. The record is from RNAcentral.
AUGACAGUCACUGGCCAUAUGUAUGCUGCUCCAGCCCUGAGCAUUGCCACAGGUAACACCCCAGCAGCAAAUGAAAGAAUUAAAACACGCCUGUGCAUCCAGGAAAGGCGUGGUUGCACAUGGAUAAACGCAGCUGUGUCAACUUUGCCCCGGCUCGCUGGAUUCAGGGUAACAGCCAGGAUUUCAGCUUAUGCUGGCUGGCUGAGUACGCACCAGCAGUAUAUAGUGAAACCUGAAAAUCUGUGCCAUGGUGUUUUCAUGGGGUGGUCAUGCACAUGGCCACCAGCAUGGCAACACCCCCCUGAUGUCCUUUCUGACACCGAUGCCCUAGAAGCCAUGGGUUUCCCCCAGAUCCUCAGGGAAAACAUGACCCGAGCCAACCACAGAGGAAGGUGCUCAGCAUCCUUUUGAAUUAGGCUUCCAGAGGGACAUUCAAAAGCUGCUGAAACUGCCAGAGCACUUCUGUUCGUGUCAGAGGAGCAGGUUUCUCCUGGAUUGAAAUUUCCCACUAAUGUAAUUAUUGUCUAUUAAGGGAGGAAGAUGGAAAAGUGAAGCUGGCAUUUCGUGCAUUAAGGUCACACAUGCCAGCCAGCUCUCAGCAUCUUAAAUGAGACUCUAUAGAGAUUUUAUUAUUUUCUAGACAUACGCAUGCCUGACGUACGUUGCAACACAGCCUCCCUCCUGCCACUCAAGGUGCAUUAUGGCCAACAACUGAGGGAAGAUGCACCUCAGGCGGAGGAGCCGUCAGGACACAGGGCAGCCAAGCAUCAAGCAUCUGACCUGAACAUCAUCAGGGGAAGAGACAGAAACUGGGAGGACUUCUCCAGGCUGACUCCCCAGCAACUUUAAAAGGCCGAGAUAACUCCGCUGCUACAGAUAGACGUGGUCCUUUGUGCCCAAACUCUCACCAACACAGCAGAGCACAUCUUGCUUUUACACCAAUGCAACAGAAGGCAGCUUUGCAAUCAAAUAUAAAUAAAUAAAAUCCUGUUUUGUUAAAUGACA